Molecule: small RNA, 125 nt
Filed under: Marmota monax (woodchuck)
Lineage: Eukaryota; Metazoa; Chordata; Mammalia; Rodentia; Sciuridae
Source: RNAcentral
GUUGGGCAUGGUGGCUCACGCCUGUAAUCCCAGCAUCUCGGGAGGCUGAGACAGGAGGAUUUCGAGUUCAAAACCAGCCUCAGCAAUGGAGAGGCACUAAGCAACUCAGUGAGAUCCUGUUUCUA